RNAcentral lists this ribosomal RNA (351 nucleotides) under uncultured bacterium. Its description in RNAcentral is "bacterial SSU rRNA". It matches the Rfam family "Bacterial small subunit ribosomal RNA", at positions 8 to 350 of the family's 1533-position model. The record is from RNAcentral.
CAGAGUUGAUCAUGGCUCAGGAUGAACGCUAGCUACAGGCUUAACACAUGCAAGUCGAGGGGAAACGACAUCGAAAGCUUGCUUUUGAUGGGCGUCGACCGGCGCACGGGUGAGUAACGCGUAUCCAACCUGCCCACCACUUGGGGAUAACCUUGCGAAAGUAAGACUAAUACCCAAUGACGUCUCUAGAAGACAUCUGAAGGAGAUUAAAGAUUUAUCGGUGAUGGAUGGGGAUGCGUCUGAUUAGCUUGUUGGCGGGGUAACGGCCACAAGGCGACGAUCAGUAGGGGUUCUGAGAGGAAGGUCCCCCANAUUGGAACUGAGACACGGUCCAAACUCCUACGGGAGGCA